This 755-nucleotide non-coding RNA is filed under the name unclassified sequences. RNAcentral describes it as "MISL RNA". It matches the Rfam family "MISL RNA". The record is from Rfam by way of RNAcentral.
AGAUAAUCCCGGGCGACCGGGGAAAGGUUGGGUCAGGCUGAUUGACCCCGCCCCUCUGAAACGAAAUUGAAAGAUUUGGUGGAGAGGCAGGAUUCACCGGUUUCUCUGGCAGGUUCGCGCCUGUCAGUAACGCGAAAGACGAAACCGGGCGGAUAGGAACGAUUAGAAACCGUUCCGAACCAGAUCAAGUAGUUCGGGCAAGUUUCGAGCCUGAACGAAUCGCAGUUGCCAAAAGGCAUCGGUUGCUACUGCGCAUCAGCACGGAUGGAUGACUCUGGCGGUCGUGAAAAACGAUCAGCCAAAUCAAAAACGCCGAAAGGCGGCACAAAGUGAGCAUCCAGACCGGGAAGGACACAAAGACUUGGCAGGUCAUGUGAAAACCUUCCGCAAGCGGCGGCGUUAAAAACAACACCGCUGCAUUGUGAAAAGAAAGCGACCUGCGAGUGAAGAGGCGAGACCCGUGGCCUCGGGCGAACGCACCGUCAAAAGCGGUGGCUGACCCGAAGCUAACGGUCAAGACGCGAACAAAGAAAACACAAGCGUGUCUUGACCUGGUUCGCAAGCUGGUGCUGCAAACAUCGGCCCAAGCGAGCUGAAAAGCCUCACUCAAAAUCCGGACGCCGCAAGGUGCUGGACGGCCCUGCUACGAGGCCGAUAACUCCGCUUGCCGUGGAGAAUGGCGUCGGGAAACCGGCAGCCCCCAACAAGGGUUGUGCGCCUAAUGCCGGUUCGGGAAAGAGAGUGUGGCGAACUCC